AACCGCAUGGGCAGCAUUCAGGCGCAGCUGCACUUUUACUGUUCCUUUCAAUCUCCCUGCAUUCCUAAGAGAGCCACUUAGCAGGGGAUCCCCCUCACAUUUAAUGGGACAGUCCUGUUCAGCAAGUCAUUCUGUGAUUACUGCCUCUAACAAGGGGAGCAACUAGUGUGACAGGGCAGGGGGAGGGAAGAGAUUAAACCCAGAAGUAACAUAACUACCCAGUAUGGCUCCCCGCAUAACUUUCAUCUAAGAAUGCAACAUUAAAAAGGUUUUGUGUUCUAGCUGUCAUUGUUCAACAAGAUGAAAUGCCACAGAUACCCAGAAAAGAGAACAGGAGAGAAAAAAUGGACUUGAGCUGCAAGAGUGAACAACUUAUGUAAGGCAGAUGAUGGACCCAGAUGGUGAAGUAGUCAUGACUCCCAUCAGCAGAUGGGAAGAACAAAAUAUUGUGCAUGGUUCAGUUGUCUUGCUUGCUUGCUGCUGCUUCUUUUUAAAAUCCCUUUUGUAACAUGCACCAUGACUGGUGACCCAGCUGUGCAGUUUCUUUGCUCUGAGGAGGAUUGAGUUAUCACAAGGAUCAUGUUACAACAAGUCCUGCAGCCUGUCCUUCUACCCCAGCAAAGUACAAGAUUCCACAAGAUCCCUUUUUUCUUCCUCCCAUAACAACAAUACAGCAUCUGUCCAACAGGUUCCAAAUACACAAUGUCAAUACUAUUUAAAAUGUUAUGAUCUGAAACUAAAAUUUUGGAACAAAAUGUGGCUUUGGUGGUCAAAAUUAAAGAAUGUUCAGCUGAAAUAAUGGGUCCCACAACUAUAAAACAGUGUUC
Molecule: non-coding RNA, 827 nt
Organism: Pogona vitticeps (central bearded dragon)
Lineage: Eukaryota; Metazoa; Chordata; Lepidosauria; Squamata; Agamidae
Source: RefSeq, a predicted model, not a curated record